GUCCACGCCCUAAACGAUGUCAACUAGGUGUUGGGGAAGGAGACUUCUUUAGUACCGCAGCUAACGCGCUAAGUUGACCGCCUGGUGAGUACGGUCGCAAGAUUAAAACUCAAAGGAAUUGACGGGGACCCUCACAAGCGGUGGAUUAUGUGGAUUAAUUCGAUGCAACGCGAAAACCUUACCUACCCUUGACAUGUCCGGAAGUUGCCAGAGAUGGCUUCGUGCCCGAAAGGGAACCGGAACACAGGUGCUGCAUGGCUGUCGU
RNAcentral lists this ribosomal RNA (265 nucleotides) under uncultured bacterium. RNAcentral's name for it is "partial 16S ribosomal RNA". It matches the Rfam family "Bacterial small subunit ribosomal RNA", at positions 793 to 1055 of the family's 1533-position model. The record is from RNAcentral.